Molecule: non-coding RNA, 536 nt
Organism: Pantherophis guttatus
Lineage: Eukaryota; Metazoa; Chordata; Lepidosauria; Squamata; Colubridae
Source: RefSeq, a predicted model, not a curated record
AGUUAUAACAGACUCUCCAACAGGCUGUUUACAGCAUCCUGCAAUCAUAUAACUGCAAUUUACAACUUUUCUACUAGAAACUGGCAUCUAUGUUACCACAAAAAAAGUUGUAUAAUCAGAUCAAUCAUUUGAUGAUCUGCUUAAUGGCUGGCAUGAUUUAAAACUGUAAUUACAGGCUCAAUUAUGGUUGUGAGUUAUGGACUAGCUGUUCAUAAAAUCUGUUCUAGGAUAUAUAUUACAAUGAUUCUUACAUGAAAAGGUCAAGAAACAUUCUACCAAUUAUGGACAUCUAUGAUUCAAGAAAGCUCCAUUAAAGUGUGGAUUGCAUGAAUUUAUUCAUCGAAUUCUGAAUUUUGCUAGAAGGAUAAACAAUUACUUUCUGGAGGCACAUUCAAUUGUGUUUACAGUUCAUCAAACACCAAAAAUGAUUCCAAUAACAUUAUUUGCUGAAACUAUUUCACUGCAGAAACAAAAAAAUGAAAGAAUACUGAACCACGUGACAAAAGUUUACAAUGGAAAAUAAGUUUACAUCAGAG